RNAcentral lists this ribosomal RNA (277 nucleotides) under uncultured bacterium. RNAcentral's name for it is "partial 16S ribosomal RNA". It matches the Rfam family "Bacterial small subunit ribosomal RNA", at positions 28 to 314 of the family's 1533-position model. The record is from RNAcentral.
GAUGAACGUUGGCGGCGUGCCUAACACAUGCAAGUCGAACGCUAGUAGCAAUAUUAGAGUGGCGCACGGGUGAGUAACACGUAGCUUACCCACCUCCCAGCGCGGGAUAACGGUUCGAAAGAACUGCUAAUACCGCAUAAGCUCACGGGCUAUAGAGGCUAGUGAGAAAAGGCUUAGGUCACUGGGAGCGGGGGCUGCGGCCCAUCAGCUGGUUGGGGCGGUAACGGCGCACCAAGGCGACGACGGGUAGGGGACCUGAGAGGGUGACCCCCACCAC